This is a long non-coding RNA of Lates calcarifer (barramundi perch), 189 nucleotides long. RefSeq lists it as uncharacterized. The record is from RefSeq and is a predicted model, not a curated record. Lineage: Eukaryota; Metazoa; Chordata; Actinopteri; Centropomidae. The transcript is spliced from 3 exons.
CACCUGGAGAGAAUGAAUUUUGGCCAUCUGAACAUAUCAUAGUUGAUCCAGUUCAUGGAGGUGAAGACUAUAUGACACCACCGCCUAACCCGGAGAACUAUUUUCCACAUUUUUCUUGCCCUGACGGUUGGACUAACUACGAUACUCACUGUCUCCUCUACGUUCCAACAAAGAUGACUUGGGAUCAGG